GGAGAGAUGGCUGAGUGGUUUAAAGCAACGGUCUUGAAAACCGUCGUGUCGCAAGGCACCCAGAGUUCGAAUCUCUGUUUCUCCGCCA
Molecule: transfer RNA, 88 nt
Filed under: bacterium
Lineage: Bacteria
Also listed under: 1 other name
Description: tRNA-Ser
Rfam family: tRNA
About the family: Transfer RNA (tRNA) molecules are approximately 80 nucleotides in length. Their secondary structure includes four short double-helical elements and three loops (D, anti-codon, and T loops).
Source: RNAcentral